GGAGGGGAUAGCUCAGUGGUAGAGUGCGUGCUUAGCAUGCACGAGAUCCUGGGUUCAACCCCCAGUCCCUCCA
RNAcentral lists this transfer RNA (73 nucleotides) under Vicugna pacos (alpaca). RNAcentral describes it as "tRNA-Ala (AGC) (tRNA-Ala-AGC-610-1)". It matches the Rfam family "tRNA". From Rfam's summary of the family: Transfer RNA (tRNA) molecules are approximately 80 nucleotides in length. The record is from RNAcentral. Lineage: Eukaryota; Metazoa; Chordata; Mammalia; Artiodactyla; Camelidae.